Molecule: small RNA, 702 nt
Filed under: Pongo abelii (Sumatran orangutan)
Lineage: Eukaryota; Metazoa; Chordata; Mammalia; Primates; Hominidae
Description: processed transcript
Source: RNAcentral
CAGAACCUUCUUCUUCCAUCACCUUCUCUAAAGCCUAUUCAUUCUUUGCUAGCUUAGAGCCUCCUUUCUCAGUGAAUGAAGUCUUCCCUGACUUUUCCAGCUCACAUGAAAACUCCUUUCUCUGACCUCCACACAUAUUUUUUUAAAGUUUAUUAUUUUUAAAUAAAUAAUAAAGCUAUAGAUUUAUUGUUUGAUAAAUUAAUUGAUUUACUGCAUAGUAUAUAUCAGGUACCUAAAUGAGCUGGACAGAUACAUGUAUGGAGCCCCCUAACUCACAGGUACUUCUCCUAGGUUGUUACUGACUUAAUUUGACCAAUUACAAAGUCACCCAACUGUAUUGUGCAGAAGCUGGAAAAAUAGAAAACUUUAAAGAAAGAAAACACUAUUACUUUAGACUUUGGGGUGGAAUGCUGGAUAAGUGACAUUUUUCACUAGCUUUCCUCCGAUUUUAAAGGAGCCAUACUGGAUUGUUCUUCAUGAUCGAAUUGUGAGUGUCAUCAGCAGCCCCAGCCUGACGUCUGAAACAGAGUGGGUUGGCUAUCCAUUCCGCCUCUUUGAUUUCACUGCCUGUCAUCAGUCCUACUCUGAGAUGAGUUGUAGCUAUACAUUAGCUCUCGCACAUGCCGUGUGGCACCAUUCUAGCAUCGGACAACUUUCUCUCAUUCCAAAGUUUCUUACUGAAGUACUUCUUCCUAUAGUGAA